GCUGGUGCUUUAGAUAGAUGACAGGUUACCCUGGACGGUAGUGACGUGAUUGCAAGGCGUUAUUACCGUUUACAUA
The sequence is a small RNA, 76 nucleotides long. It matches the Rfam family "COG2827 RNA". Rfam says of the family: Clostridiales. The record is from Rfam.